This is a non-coding RNA of Chiloscyllium plagiosum (whitespotted bambooshark), 1135 nucleotides long. Lineage: Eukaryota; Metazoa; Chordata; Chondrichthyes; Orectolobiformes; Hemiscylliidae. The record is from RefSeq and is a predicted model, not a curated record.
GGCUGGAUGACACACAGGUUUCAGUAUGACUCAUGAACCAACUGAGUGGAUGCAUUGAUUCUAAAAAAAGGCACUGACCCCCAACAAGAUGCCCCUGACAAACAUUUCCUUUAUCCUGAUGUGACCUAAGAUGUUCUUCUAAGGGAACAGGAAAAAGACGGCAUUUAUGUUGUUGGAAAAGGAAGAGAAGACAUGAGCUGAACAGAUGAUGAAUGCAACCCAAAGAAAAGACAAAGACAAAUUGGAUUUAUUUAACCAAUGGAAUUUUAAUUCCUCAGCUGCCAUGGUGCCAUCUGAAUUUAUGUCUCCAGAUCAUUGGUGCAGUAACAUAACAUAACUACUGUUCUACUUUACCAUGCAAAAGUCAAACAUCAACAGAAGCUUAAAGGGACUGUUUUGAUGGACUGCCAAAAUUACACUAAUGUGAAACUGCCACUGCAUUGCCCUGCAGUAGAUAUUGACAUAAUUCUUGGUGUUCUGCUGAAUGCUGACAUUGUUGGUAUCCUGCGUUGCUAAGGCAACAAUGAUGGAAAAUAUGAGGUAUGAUCUCACUCUGUCAUUAACUACCUAAUUUGAAUGUGCCCACCAUAAUUGAGCAGGUGCAUCUGACACUCUCUACGACUUCUGGCAGAGAAUGUAUGCAGCGCAAAAGUGGCUCAGAAACCAGAAUUAUGGCUCUUUGUCCAGAUUUAUAACCUCCAAACCAACUAUUUACACUAAAGUAGUGGUAAAGGAAAAAAAUCCUGUCCAUUGUAUUUCUGUACUAUACAAUGAGAAGGAAAAAAUUACAGUAAAAAAAGAAGCAGAAUAAGAAAUACAAUUCGACACAGCAAGAAACAAAAGUGAUAAUGAAAUUGUUAGAUGCAGGAGGAAGAGUAGUCUGAAAAAAGUGGAAGAAACAUGGAAAGACAAAGAAAAAGAGACAAAAGUACUUUUAAAACUCAGAAGCAAAACAUCAGAAAAGAAAAACCAUUGUUUAAAAAUUAUGGCAACCAGUUAUGUGAUAUAUAGAUUUUCUUUUGGGAACAUUAUAAUUAUUUUCCUAUUAAUAAUACAAAUGAAUAUAACUGCUGAGAUGACUCAGAAAAUGGGUACACCCUGUUGUCAUUAUUGUUUGAUCAGACAUUUUACAGAU